This 408-nucleotide ribosomal RNA is filed under the name uncultured bacterium. RNAcentral's name for it is "partial 16S ribosomal RNA". It matches the Rfam family "Bacterial small subunit ribosomal RNA", at positions 30 to 526 of the family's 1533-position model. The record is from RNAcentral.
AUUGAACGCUGGCGGCGUGCCUAAUACAUGCAAGUCGAACGGAGUGGCGCCCGGGUGAGUAAUGUAUAUCUAAUCUGCCCUACACUAGCGGACAACAGUUGGAAACGGCUGCUAAUACUCUACAGUGUAGGAUGAGGCUAUAUUGUAUCAGCUAGUUGGUGAGGUAAUGGCUCACCAAGGCUAUGACGCAUAACUGGUCUGAGAGGAUGAUCAGUCACACUGGAACUGAGACACGGUCCAGACUCCUACUGGAGGGAGCAGUAGGGAAUAGUGCUCAAGGGGGGAAACCCUGAAGCAGCAACGCGGCGUGGAGGAUGACACUUUUCGGAGCGAAAACUCCUUUUGUUAGGGAAGCGGUACCUGACGAAUAAGCACCGGCUAACUCCGUGCCAGCAGCCGCGGUAAUUC